UUGCCCUACGGGACGCAGCAGUGAGGAAUAUUGGUCAAUGGCCGAGAGGCUGAACCAGCCAAGUCGCGUGAGGGAAGACGGCCCUACGGGUUGUAAACCUCUUUUGUCGGGGAGCAAAAGACGCCACGCGUGGCGUUCCGAGAGUACCCGAAGAAAAAGCAUCGGCUAACUCCGUGCCAGCAGCCGCGGUAAUACGGAGGAUGCGAGCGUUAUCCGGAUUUAUUGGGUUUAAAGGGUGCGCAGGCGGAAGAUCAAGUCAGCGGUAAAAUUGAGAGGCUCAACCUCUUCGAGCCGUUGAAACUGGU
Molecule: ribosomal RNA, 305 nt
Filed under: uncultured bacterium
Lineage: Bacteria
Description: bacterial SSU rRNA
Rfam family: Bacterial small subunit ribosomal RNA
Source: RNAcentral